UACAGAGGUCCCAAGCGUUGUUCGGAUUCAUUGGGCGUAAAGGGUGCGUAGGCGGCGCGGUAAGUCGGGUGUGAAAUCUCGGGGCUUAACUCCGAAACUGCAUUCGAUACUGCCGUGCUUGAGGACUGGAGAGGAGACUGGAAUUUACGGUGUAGCGGUGAAAUGCGUAGAGAUCGGGAGGAACACCAGAGGCGAAGGCGGCGACCUGGACAGACACUGACACUCAACUGCGAAAGCGUGGGGAGCAAACAGG
RNAcentral lists this ribosomal RNA (253 nucleotides) under uncultured bacterium. Its description in RNAcentral is "partial 16S ribosomal RNA". It matches the Rfam family "Bacterial small subunit ribosomal RNA", at positions 524 to 776 of the family's 1533-position model. The record is from RNAcentral.